This 495-nucleotide ribosomal RNA is filed under the name uncultured bacterium. Its description in RNAcentral is "bacterial SSU rRNA". It matches the Rfam family "Bacterial small subunit ribosomal RNA", at positions 30 to 518 of the family's 1533-position model. The record is from RNAcentral.
UGAACGCUAGCGACAGGCUUAACACAUGCAAGUCGAGGGGUAACAGGGUAGCAAUACCGCUGACGACCGGCGCACGGGUGAGUAACGCGUAUGCAACCUGCCUAUAACUGGGGAAUAGCUCCCUGAAAGGGGAAUUAACACCGCAUAACACUAUUGAUUCGCAUGGAUUAGUAGUUAAAUGUAGCGAUACAGGUUAUAGAUGGGCAUGCGUGACAUUAGCUAGUUGGUGAGGUAACGGCUCACCAAGGCUACGAUGUCUAGGGGUUCUGAGAGGAAGGUCCCCCACACUGGUACUGAGACACGGACCAGACUCCUACGGGAGGCAGCAGUGAGGAAUAUUGGUCAAUGGGCGCAAGCCUGAACCAGCCAUGUCGCGUGCAGGAAGACUGCCCUAAUGGGUUGUAAACUGCUUUAUAGUAGAAGAAACACAUCUACGAGUAGAUGUCUGCCAGUAUACUAUGAAUAAGCAUCGGCUAACUCCGUGCCAGCAGCCGC